RNAcentral lists this ribosomal RNA (468 nucleotides) under uncultured bacterium. Its description in RNAcentral is "partial 16S ribosomal RNA". It matches the Rfam family "Bacterial small subunit ribosomal RNA", at positions 28 to 507 of the family's 1533-position model. The record is from RNAcentral.
GACGAACGCUGGCGGCGCGCUUAACACAUGCAAGUCGAACGGAAAGGCCCUGCUUUUGUGGGGUGCUCGAGUGGCGAACGGGUGAGUAACACGUGAGUAACCUGCCCUUGACUUUGGGAUAACUUCAGGAAACUGGGGCUAAUACCGGAUAGGAGCUCCUGCUGCAUGGUGGUGGUUGGAAAGUUUCGGCGGUUGGGGAUGGACUCGCGGCUUAUCAGCUUGUUGGUGGGGUAGUGGCUUACCAAGGCUUUGACGGGUAGCCGGCCUGAGAGGGUGACCGGCCACAUUGGGACUGAGAUACGGCCCAGACUCCUACGGGAGGCAGCAGUGGGGAAUAUUGCACAAUGGGCGGAAGCCUGAUGCAGCAACGCCGCGUGCGGGAUGACGGCCUUCGGGUUGUAAACCGCUUUCGCCUGUGACGAAGCGUGAGUGACGGUAAUGGGUAAAGAAGCACCGGCUAACUACGUG